Molecule: ribosomal RNA, 468 nt
Filed under: uncultured bacterium
Lineage: Bacteria
Description: partial 16S ribosomal RNA
Rfam family: Bacterial small subunit ribosomal RNA
Source: RNAcentral
GACGAACGCUGGCGGCGUGCUUAACACAUGCAAGUCGAACGGAAAGGCUCUGCUUUUUUGGGGUGCGCUAGUGGCGAACGGGUGGGUAACACGUGAGUAACCUGCCCUUGACUUGGGGAUAACUUCAGGAAACUGGGGCUAAUACCGGAUAGGAGCUCCUGCUGCAGGGUGGGGGUGGGAAAGUGUCGUCGGUUGGUGAUGGACUCGCGGGUUAACAGCUUGUUGGUGGGGGGGUGGCUUACCAAGGCUUUGACGGGUAGCGGGCCUCAGAGGGUGACCGGCCACAUUGGGACUGAGAUACGGCCACGACUGCUAAGGGAGGCAGAAGGGCGGAAUAUUGCACAAUGGGCGGAAGGCUGAUGAAGCAACGCCGCGUGCGGGAUAGCGGCCUUCGGGUUGUAAACCGCUCUCGCGUGUGACGAAGCGUGAGAGAAGGUAAUGGGUAAAGAAGCAACGGGUAACUACGUG